GAUGAACGCUGGCGGCGUGCUUAACACAUGCAAGUCGAACGAAGUGGCGCACGGGUGAGUAAUGUGUAAUCAACCUGCCCUUCAGAGGGUGACAACAGUUGGAAACGACUGCUAAUCCCGAAUACUUAAGGAGGGGAUUGCGUCUGCUUCGCGAGUUGGCGGGGUAACGGCCCACCAAGGCGAUGAUGAGUAGCCGGGCUUAGGGGAUGAACGGGCAAAAUGGGACUGAGGAACGGCCCAGACUCCGACGGGAGGCAGCAGUGGGGAAUCAUCCGAAAUGGACGAAAGUCUGGCGGAACAACGCCGCGUGAGUUAUGACGGCCUUCGGGUUGUAAAGCUCUGUUAAUCGGGGCGCGGUACCGGAAUAGGAAGCCACGGCUAACGACGUGCCAGCAGCCGCGGUAAUUC
This 408-nucleotide ribosomal RNA is filed under the name uncultured bacterium. RNAcentral describes it as "partial 16S ribosomal RNA". It matches the Rfam family "Bacterial small subunit ribosomal RNA", at positions 28 to 526 of the family's 1533-position model. The record is from RNAcentral.